Molecule: long non-coding RNA, 972 nt
Filed under: Oncorhynchus kisutch (coho salmon)
Lineage: Eukaryota; Metazoa; Chordata; Actinopteri; Salmoniformes; Salmonidae
Description: lncRNA (ENSOKIG00005017686.1)
Source: RNAcentral
AUGUGGAAUGCUGCGUUCGGAAAUGGGUCAGAUUUGCGUAGUGGAGGAGGCGGCGGCUGCGGCGGCGGGUACGUGCCAGCGCAGGACUGGGAAUUCGUUUCCUGCUCGCGCCUGGAAAGAGAAAGAGAGCGCGGCAGAGGGAAGAGUCGCAGCCCGUUCAGGACGUUCUCCUCCCCGCCAACAGUCACUCAGUUCUACGAACAGUCUCAUCCUGGAACGGUUGGAACAUCACUGGAGCUUCCUCGGGGACAAGUUCGGGCGCAAGAGCCAGGGACUCAUCACUCCCGCCUGAAAAAGAAGUUUGAACACUUCAAGAAACGCCACGGACAGGACAAGGAAGAAUGGAUACGAGAGAAGGAGAUACUUUUAAGACAAGUUGCUGAGAUACAAGGUGGGGAGAACAGAAGGAUUUUGUUGGAUCUGAAGACUGUAGUGGAGGAGGUGCAGCUAGAGGUGAAGAGAGAGGAGUCGAAGAGGAGCGAGCUACAGCUGCAGUACACUAAGGACAGAUGUGCCUGGGAACUGGAGAGAGCUGAGCUGAAAUGCAGAAUCGCACAGGCUACCAGGGCCUACCACCAUGCAUCCUGUGUCUUCGAGCUACCAGGAGUUACCACCAAGCAUCCUGUGUCUUCGGGGCUACCAGGGCCUACCACCAAGCAUCCUGUGUUUUCGAGCUACCAGGAGUUACCACCAAGCAUCCUGUGUCUCGAAGGCUACCAGGGAUUACCACUAAGCAUCCUGUUCUUUGAGGCUACCAGGGCCUACCACCAAGCAUCCUAGUGUCUUCGGGGCUACCAGGGCCUACCACCAAGCAUCCUGUGUCUUCGAGCUACCAGGGCCUACCACCAAGCAUCCUGUGUCUUCGAGCUACCAGGAGUUACCACCAAGCAUCCUGUGUCUUCAGGCUACCAGGAGUUACCACCAAGCAUCCUGUGGUCUUCAGGCUACCAGGGCCUACCACCAAGCAUCCUG